CGUCGAAGUAUUUUCCUCACAGGUUCGCACAAGGUCAGGGGUACACGACCAUUAGUAUUUCCGCUGCACCGUGUGACUUUCCCAACAUGCUAAUAUACCGAGAUUUGGUACAUAUUCUUUUUCUUUCUUUCUUUUUUGUCCAGAGUCAUUUGAUAGAGGAAUGCAUGCUGGACCUGUGGGGCUUUUUGGUGGUGGAGAGAGUGAAUUCUCUGUAGGCAUAAGAUAUGCUUUAGUCAAAAAGGGUCUUGGAGCCUUGAUCUAUUCAGGAAAAGGAAUAGUUUCAGGAAGUGAUUCAUCCUCCGAGUGGAACGAGCUUGAUCUUAAAACUUGUCCUUGAGACAUCAAUGCAAUUUCCAUGUCUUUAUGCAAUCUGAAACAUAUAAUUAUGUGUUUCUCAGUUCACUAAAUCACUUGAACA
Molecule: long non-coding RNA, 418 nt
Organism: Brassica oleracea var. oleracea
Lineage: Eukaryota; Viridiplantae; Streptophyta; Magnoliopsida; Brassicales; Brassicaceae
Exons: 2
Source: RefSeq, a predicted model, not a curated record